Molecule: ribosomal RNA, 458 nt
Filed under: uncultured bacterium
Lineage: Bacteria
Description: partial 16S ribosomal RNA
Rfam family: Bacterial small subunit ribosomal RNA
Source: RNAcentral
CCUACGGGGGGCUGCAGUGAGGAAUAUUGGUCAAUGGGCGGAAGCCUGAACCAGCCAAGUAGCGUGCAGGAUGACGGCCCUACGGGUUGUAAACUGCUUUUGUCGGGGAGCAAAAGCCGGACGUGUCCGGCUGUGAGAGUACCCGAAGAAAAAGCAUCGGCUAACUCCGUGCCAGCAGCCGCGGUAAUACGGAGGAUGCGAGCGUUAUCCGGAUUUAUUGGGUUUAAAGGGUGCGCAGGCGGAUUUUUAAGUCAGCGGUCAAAUCGUGGGGCUCAACCCCAUCCAGUCGUUGAAACUGGGGAUCUAGAGUGUGCGAGAGGUAUGCGGAAUGCGUGGUGUAGCGGUGAAAUGCAUAGAUAUCACGCAGAACCCCGAUUGCGAAGGCAGCAUACCGGUGCACAACUGACGCUCAGGCACGAAAGCGUGGGUAUCGAACAGGAUUAGAUACCCGGGUAGUC